UGGUGAAAAGGUGAAAGGUAAGAAUAAAUGAGAUAUUGUUAGUAGUGGGUAGUGUCCCAAAAUGAAUAGAAAGUUAUUUGAGGAUAACCCAAAAAGAAAAUAUAUAAAGUUAUUUGGGGACGGAGAAAGUAUUUAUUUAAAGAUUAAAACUUAAUAAAAUUCUCUCUCAUCUUUUUUUUUUUGUUGAAUAAACCUAUUUUCCAAUUCUCUUUUAUUUUUA
RNAcentral lists this long non-coding RNA (220 nucleotides) under Salvia miltiorrhiza (redroot sage). Its description in RNAcentral is "long non-coding RNA (SMIL_LNC009212)". The record is from RNAcentral. Lineage: Eukaryota; Viridiplantae; Streptophyta; Magnoliopsida; Lamiales; Lamiaceae.